ACCCGCACAAGCAGCGGAGCGUGUGGUUUAAUUCGUUGCUACAGAAGAACCUUACCUGGGUUUGACAUAUAGGUUGUAGGGAACUGAAAAGGGACCGACCCUUUCGGGGGAGCCUAUACAGGUUGUUGCAUGGCUGUCGUCAGCUCGUGUCGUGAGAUGUUCGGUUAAGUCCGCUAACGAGCGCAACCCUCGUCGUAUGUUAUAUGUGUCAUACGAGACUGCCGGUAAAAAGCCGGAGGAAGGUGAGGAUGAUGUCAAGUCAGCAUGACCUUUAUAUCCAGGGCUACACACACGCUACAAUGGUCUGUACAAUGGGUAGCCAAGCCGCGAGGCGGAGCCAAUCCUGAAAGCAGGCCUCAGUUCAGAUUGCAGUCUGCAACUCGACUGCAUGAAGCCGGAGUUGCUAGUAACCGCAGGUCAGCAAUACUGCGGUGAAUACGUUCCCGGGUCUU
This 452-nucleotide ribosomal RNA is filed under the name uncultured Anaerolineaceae bacterium. RNAcentral's name for it is "bacterial SSU rRNA". It matches the Rfam family "Bacterial small subunit ribosomal RNA", at positions 919 to 1382 of the family's 1533-position model. Lineage: Bacteria; Bacillati; Chloroflexota; Anaerolineae; Anaerolineales; Anaerolineaceae. The record is from RNAcentral.